GGAAAGGUGUCCGAGUGGUUAUGGAGCUAGGUUUAGGCCCUAGUGCGAAAGCUCGCGGGUUCGAGUCCCGCCCUUUUCA
Molecule: transfer RNA, 79 nt
Filed under: Schizosaccharomyces japonicus yFS275
Lineage: Eukaryota; Fungi; Ascomycota; Schizosaccharomycetes; Schizosaccharomycetales; Schizosaccharomycetaceae
Description: tRNA-Leu (TAG) (tRNA-Leu-TAG-2-1)
Rfam family: tRNA
About the family: Transfer RNA (tRNA) molecules are approximately 80 nucleotides in length. Their secondary structure includes four short double-helical elements and three loops (D, anti-codon, and T loops). Further hydrogen bonds mediate the characteristic L-shaped molecular structure. tRNAs have two regions of fundamental functional importance: the anti-codon, which is responsible for specific mRNA codon recognition, and the 3' end, to which the tRNAs corresponding amino acid is attached (by aminoacyl-tRNA synthetases). tRNAs cope with the degeneracy of the genetic code in two manners: having more than one tRNA (with a specific anti-codon) for a particular amino acid; and 'wobble' base-pairing, i.e. permitting non-standard base-pairing at the 3rd anti-codon position.
Source: RNAcentral